Molecule: ribosomal RNA, 165 nt
Filed under: uncultured bacterium
Lineage: Bacteria
Description: partial 16S rRNA
Rfam family: Bacterial small subunit ribosomal RNA
Source: RNAcentral
UAGGGAAUCUUCCACAAUGGACGCAAGUCUGAUGGAGCAACGCCGCGUGAGUGAAGAAGGUCUUCGGAUCGUAAAACUCUGUUGUUAGAGAAGAACGUGUGUGAGAGUGGAAAGUUCACACAGUGACGGUAACUUACCAGAAAGGGACGGCUAACUACGUGCCAG